This 253-nucleotide ribosomal RNA is filed under the name uncultured bacterium. Its description in RNAcentral is "partial 16S ribosomal RNA". It matches the Rfam family "Bacterial small subunit ribosomal RNA", at positions 524 to 776 of the family's 1533-position model. The record is from RNAcentral.
UACGAAGGGAGCGAGCGUUGUUCGGAAUCACUGGGCUUAAAGCGUGCGUAGGCGGAGAUGCAAGUCAGAAGUGAAAUCCCGGGGCUUAACCCCGGAACUGCUUUUGAAACUGCAUCCCUAGAAUUCGGUAGAGGUUAAUGGAAUAUCCAGUGUAGAGGUGAAAUUCGCAGAUAUUGGAUAGAACACCAGUGGCGAAGGCGAUUAACUGGGCCGAUAUUGACGCUGAGGCACGAAAGCGUGGGGAGCAAACAGG